RNAcentral lists this ribosomal RNA (479 nucleotides) under uncultured bacterium. RNAcentral describes it as "partial 16S ribosomal RNA". It matches the Rfam family "Bacterial small subunit ribosomal RNA", at positions 28 to 507 of the family's 1533-position model. The record is from RNAcentral.
GAUGAACGCUAGCGGGAGGCCUAACACAUGCAAGCCGAGCGGUAUUGUUUCUUCGGACAUGAGAGAGCGGCGUACGGGUGCGUAACACGUGUGCAACCUGCCUUUAUCUGGGGGAUAGCCUUUCGAAAGGAAGAUUAAUACUCCAUAAUAUAUUGAACGGCAUCGUUUAAUAUUGAAAGCUCCGGCGGAUAGAGAUGGGCACGCGCAAGAUUAGCUAGUUGGUGAGGUAACGGCUCACCAAGGCGAUGAUCUUUAGGGGGCCUGAGAGGGUGAUCCCCCACACUGGUACGGAGACACGGACCAGACUCCUACGGGAGGCAGCAGUGAGGAAUAUUGGUCAAUGGGUGCAAGCCUGAACCAGCCAUCCCGUGUGAAGGACGACUGCCCUAUGGGUUGUAAACUUCUUUUGUAUAGGGAUAAACCUACCCUCGAGAGGGUAGCUGAAGGUACUAUACGAAUAAGCACCGGCUAACUCCGUG